AACCUGAGAAGUCUGUGCUCAAAGUCUGAAUAAAGUCAGAAUUGUAUUGAAGUGUUUAAGAUAAAUAAGGAGCAGAAAAAAGGCAAAAUUGUGUUUGGAAAACAUCAAGAGGGAAGACCACAUUUGGGGGACUACAGGAACCAAAAUACGGAGUUUGAAUGUUUUUCCUAAGCACAAUGGAACCUGUGGAAGAUUUUUAGCAGUAUUCGCAAAAAAGCUCUUACAAUAUUCCAUUCUGUGAGAAGUUUCGACCAAAAAGUGAGUGUAACUCUGAUAACACUUAUUUAUAGAGCAGUUGGCUUUGAUGAACAAUGAACUGUUACUUGAUUUUACUCUUGGUUCAAGGACAUCCACAAGUGCUGUCAAAUUGAAAGCACACAAGUCACCUUCCUAAAGAGGUGGUAAAGCCCAUUAUCACUCAAAUUACGAUCAAAUGACCCAGUUUCUUGGGAAUGCUAACAUUCUUGAAUUUACAUUUUCUAUUGCUAUGCCUCCAAAUUAAUCGCCCCAUAUAAAGAGAUGCUUAGGCUGAGAGUAUGCCCAGGAUGGAAAGAGGAGACAAACACACGAAGUACCCAAUAGCAUUGUCUUCAAAGGACAGGCUCUGAUAGCCGCAGGAAAAGGGAAAAUUAGGUGAAAAAAACCUCAUCUUUUAUUAGAAGUCUUCUUUGAGGGAAACACUAAUUUUCAUCGUGAAUAUCAUUCAGCUGGAGGUGGCAUUGAAGAUUUAAUUUGGAAAGAUGUCAAGAAAACAAAGGAUUUCUCUCUGACCUCCUUUCCCCAAUGGAAAAGAUGAUAUCACUUCGAAGUUUCUUCUAAAACAAAGAAUAACUUUUCAAAAGUUUCCUUUGAAAUUGGAGUCAGUAAAGCUGAACAAAAAUAUCAUAAACACACCUAAUCUUUGUCCACUUCCCAAGCCUGUCCCAAUUUCUGAUGAAUGCUACACUCAGAACCAUUUCUCAUAUAAAGAGAACAUUUGCUAUUUAUUGGAAAAAGUUCCAUUUUUUUGACAAUGUACUGUAAUUCCUUGGGAGUAGGCUCCUAAAUUGUCAAUCUUGGCAUAUGAAAAAUUCAAACGAAUUAACAAUAAAAUUGUUAUAUUAGUCUGUUCUCACACUGCUGUGAAGAAACAUCAGAGACUGGGUAACUUAGAAAGGAAAGAGGUUUACAUGACUCACAGUUCUGCGUUGCUGGGGAGGCCUCAGAAACUUACAAUAAUGGCAGAAGGCAAAACAGAAGCAGGCACCUUACUCACAGUGCAGCAGGAUGGAAUAAGUGCAAGCAAGGGAUACGCUGGAUGCUUAUAAAACCAUCAGAUCUCCUGAGAACUCACUCACUAUCAUGAGAACAGCAUGGGGGAACCGCCACCAUCAUCCAAUUACCUCCACCUGUUCCCGCCCUUGACACAUGGAGAUUAUGGGGAUUACAAAUCAAGGUGGUGAAGAAAUGACAUAUGACAAAGCACAACAGAAAAUAUUCCUGAGGGUAAGCCAUGGCGUUUCAUCAAUUAACAAUAAAGGAAGAAAGCAGGCCUAAAGCCUAUGAUGGAAAAAGAAAAUGGCAGAAGAGAUUGUGAACUUAAGUAAAGUAUUGUAGGUUCAGGAGUACAUGUGCAGAAUGUGCAGUGUUGUUACAUAGAUAAAUGUGUGUCAUGAUGGUUUGCUGCACGGAUCAUCUCAUCACCCAGGUAUUAAGCCCAGCAUCCAUUAGCUAUUCUUUCUUAUGCUCUCCCUUCUAAAAAGUGUUCUACCCUUCACCUUAAAAAAUGCCCCAGUGUGUGUUCUCCACCCCCAUCAUGUGUGCAUGUGUUCUCAUAAUUCAGCUCCCACUUAUAAGAGAGAGCAUGCAGCAUUUGGUUUUCUUUUCCUGCAUUAAUUUGCUGAUAAUAAUGGCUUCCAUGACCUUGCAAAGGACAUGAUUUUGUUCCUUUUUAUGGCUGCAUAGUAUGUAUAUGUACCACAUUUCCUUUAUCCAGUCUAUCAUUUGAUGGGCAUUUAGGUUGAUUCCAUCUCUUUGCAAUUGUGAAGAGUGCUGCAAUAAAUAUACACAUGCAUGUAUCUUUAUAAUAAAAAGAUUUAUAUUCCUUUGGUUAUAUAUCCAGUAAUUGGGAUUGCUGGGUCGAAUCGUAUUUCUGCCUCUAGGUCUUUGAGGAAUGGCCACACUGUCUUCUACAAUGGUUGAGCUAAUUUACACUCCCACCAAUAGUGCAUAAGUAUUCCCUUUUCUCGGCAACCUCACCAUCAUCUGCUAUUAUUUUUUUUGACUUUUUAGUAAUAGCCAUUCUAACUGGUGUUAGAUGGUAUCUGAUUAUGGUUUUGAUUUGCAUUUCACUAAUAAUCAGUGAUGUUGAGCUUUUCUUCAUGUAUUUGCUGGCCACAUGUAUGUCCUCUUUUGAGAAGUGUCUGUUCAUGUCCUUUGCCCACUUUUUAAUGUGGUUGUUUGGUGGUUUUUUUCUUGUAAAUUGUUUAAGCUUCAUGUAGAUGCUGGAUAUUAGACCUUUAUCAGGUGGAUAGAGUGCAAAAAUUUUCUUCCGCUCUUUACAUUGUCUGUUUCCUCUGUUGAUAGUUUCUUUUGCUGUGCAGAAACUCUUUUGUUUAAUUAAAUCCCAUUUGUCAAUUUUUGCUUUUGUUCCAAUUGCUUUUGGCAUCUUCGUCAUGAAAUCUUUGCCUGUGCCUAUAUCCUGAAUAGAAUUGCCUUUGUUUUCUUAUAGGGUUUUUAUAGUUUUGGGUUUUACAUUGAAGUCUUUAAACCAUAUUGAGUUAAUUUCUGUAUAAGUUGUAAGGAAUGGGUCCUGUUUCAAUUUUCUGCAUAUAGCUAGGCAGUUCUUUCUGUACCAUUUAUUAAACAGGGAAUCUUUUCCCCAUUGCUUGUUUUUGUCAGAUUUGUCAAAGAUCAGAUGGUUGUCAGUGUGUAGUCUUAUUUCUGCGUUCUCUAUUCUGUUCCAUUGAUCUGUGUGUCUGUUCUUGUACCAGUAUCAUGCUGUUUUGAUUACUGUAGCCCUGUAGUAUAGUUUGAAUUCAGAUAGCAUGAUGCCUUCAGCUUCGUUCUUUUUGCUUAGAAUAGCCUUGGCUAUUUGGGCUCUUUUUUUGUUUUCAUAGGUAUUAUAAAACAGUUUUUUCUAAUUCUAUGAGGAAUGUCAAUGGUAGUUUAACAGGAACAGCACUGAAUCUAUAAAUUACUUCAGGCAGUAUGGCCAUUUUCACAAUAUUGAUUCUUCCUAUUCAUGAACGUGAACUUUUUUGUGUUUACUUUUGUCAUCCCUGACUCCUCUGAGCAGAGCUUUGUAGUUACCUUGUAGAGAUAUUUCACAUCCUUUGUUAGCUGUAUUCCUAUGUGUUUUAUUCUGUUUGUGAUGAUUGUGAUUGGGAGUUCAUUUGUGAUUUGACUCUCAACUUGACUCUUGUUGGUGUACAGGAAUGCUAACAAUGUUUGC
RNAcentral lists this long non-coding RNA (3433 nucleotides) under Homo sapiens (human). Its description in RNAcentral is "non-protein coding LINC02263:18". The record is from RNAcentral. Lineage: Eukaryota; Metazoa; Chordata; Mammalia; Primates; Hominidae.